GCUGGGUGCGUGGAGCACACCUGUCAUCCCAGCUGCUUGGGAGGCUGAGGCAGGAGGAUCGCAAGUUCAAAGCCAGCCUUAGCAACUUAGCAAGGCCCUAAGCAACUCAGCGAGACCCUGUCUCAA
This 126-nucleotide small RNA is filed under the name Marmota monax (woodchuck). Lineage: Eukaryota; Metazoa; Chordata; Mammalia; Rodentia; Sciuridae. The record is from RNAcentral.